Molecule: ribosomal RNA, 473 nt
Filed under: uncultured bacterium
Lineage: Bacteria
Description: partial 16S ribosomal RNA
Rfam family: Bacterial small subunit ribosomal RNA
Source: RNAcentral
AACGAACGUUGGCGGCGUGGAUUAGGCAUGCAAGUCGUACGAGUUUCAUCUGGGGAACUGGUUGUAACAAGUGGCGGAAGGGGCGGUAAGGCAUGGCUGAUCUACCCUGAUGACCGGGAUAGCUGUCCCAACGGGCAGGAAAUACCGCAUGAUCUCGUGGGGCCGCAUGGUUCUGCCAGGUAAGGCGCAAGCCGUGUCGGGAGGAAUCAAUGUGGUAUUAGCUUGUUGGUGAGGUAAAGGCUCACCAAGGCGAAGAGGCCUACCGGGUGCAAGGGCACGACCAGCGCCACCGGCACUGAGACGCUGGCCGGACUCCGACGGGAGGCUGCAUUGGAGGAUGUUCGACAAUGGGCGAAAGCCUGACCGAGCAAGGCCGCGUGGUUGAAGAAGGCCAUUAGGUGGUAGGGCUGUGGCGAGGGUGAACAAGCCGCAAGGUGGAGUUAUCCCUAGAGGAAGCACGGGCUAAGUUCGUG